Molecule: small RNA, 27 nt
Filed under: Arabidopsis thaliana (thale cress)
Lineage: Eukaryota; Viridiplantae; Streptophyta; Magnoliopsida; Brassicales; Brassicaceae
Description: ATSL152100
Source: RNAcentral
AAUCUACACCGUCCGCGUGCAUGAAUA